This 236-nucleotide long non-coding RNA is filed under the name Elaeis guineensis (African oil palm). Its description in RNAcentral is "long non-coding RNA (EGUI_LNC036342)". The record is from RNAcentral. Lineage: Eukaryota; Viridiplantae; Streptophyta; Magnoliopsida; Arecales; Arecaceae.
CAGGAAGCUCCAGAUCGUACUCCGGAGGAACUCCAUACUGAACCCUUAUCAGUAGGAGUUCGUCCGGAGUCAGAGAACAGGGAAUGGCAUCCGGUGCAAGAAUCGGACGAGGUCCAACCCUAGUUGUGGGUUCAUCUAUGGUAUGAGGGUUCUGAGGGACUGAGGCAGACGAACUCCUGGAACCGCUGGAGGCGGAGGUGCUAAAAGAUAUUUCAAGCAAAAACCCUAAAAUCCCA